AUACGUAGGGGGCAAGCGUUAUCCGGAAUUAUUGGGCGUAAAGGGUGCGUAGGCGGUCUAUUAAGUCUGAGGUGUAAGUGCAGGGCUCAACCCUGUGAUGCUUUAGAAACUGGUAGACUUGAGUGAGAUAGAGGCAAGUGGAAUUCCAUGUGUAGCGGUAAAAUGCGUAAAUAUAUGGAGGAACACCAGUGGCGAAGGCGGCUUGCUGGGUCUAUACUGACGCUGAGGCACGAAAGCGUGGGGAGCAAACAGGAUUAGAUACCCUGGUAGUCCACGCCGUAAACGAUGAGUACUAAGUGUUGCGAGAACGCAGUGCUGAAGUUAACAUAUUAAGUACUCCGCCUGAGGAGUACGUAUGCAAGUAUGAAACUCAAAGGAAUUGACGGGG
This 388-nucleotide ribosomal RNA is filed under the name uncultured bacterium. RNAcentral's name for it is "partial 16S ribosomal RNA". It matches the Rfam family "Bacterial small subunit ribosomal RNA", at positions 523 to 918 of the family's 1533-position model. The record is from RNAcentral.